GAUGAACGCUAGCGACAGGCUUAACACAUGCAAGUCGAGGGGCAGCACAAGGUAGCAAUACUGAGGUGGCGACCGGCGCACGGGUGAGUAACGCGUAUGCAACUUACCUAUCAGAGGGGGAUAACCCGGCGAAAGUCGGACUAAUACCGCAUAAAACAGGGGCUCCGCAUGGAGAUAUUUGUUAAAGAUUCAUUGCUGAUAGAUAGGCAUGCGUUCCAUUAGGCAGUUGGUGGGGUAACGGCUCACCAAACCGACGAUGGAUAGGGGUUCUGGGAGGAAGGUCCCCCACAUUGGAACGUAGACACGGUCCAAACUCCUACGGGAGGCAGCAGUGUGGAAUAUUGGUCAAUGGGCGAGAGCCUGAACCAGCCAAGUCGCGUGAAGGAUGAAGGUUCUAUGGAUUGUAAACUUCUUUUAUAGGGGAAUAAAGUGCGGGACGUGUCCCGCUUUGUAUGUACCUAACGGAUAAGCAUCGGCUAACUCCGUGCCAGCCGCCGCAGUAACAC
RNAcentral lists this ribosomal RNA (506 nucleotides) under uncultured bacterium. Its description in RNAcentral is "bacterial SSU rRNA". It matches the Rfam family "Bacterial small subunit ribosomal RNA", at positions 28 to 526 of the family's 1533-position model. The record is from RNAcentral.